This 253-nucleotide ribosomal RNA is filed under the name uncultured bacterium. RNAcentral's name for it is "partial 16S ribosomal RNA". It matches the Rfam family "Bacterial small subunit ribosomal RNA", at positions 524 to 776 of the family's 1533-position model. The record is from RNAcentral.
UACGUAGGUGGCAAGCGUUGUCCGGAAUCAUUGGGCGUAAAGCGCGCGUAGGCGGCCCGGUAAGUCCGCUGUAAAAGUCAAAGGCUCAACCUUUGAAUGUCAGUGGAUACUGCCGGGCUAGAGUCCGGAAGAGGCGAGUGGAAUUCCUGGUGUAGCGGUGGAAUGCGCAGAUAUCAGGAGGAACACCAACGGCGAAGGCAGCUCGCUGGGACGGUACUGACGCUAAGGCGCGAAAGCGUGGGGAGCGAACAGG